This 3159-nucleotide long non-coding RNA is filed under the name Homo sapiens (human). Its description in RNAcentral is "HSALNT0273656". Lineage: Eukaryota; Metazoa; Chordata; Mammalia; Primates; Hominidae. The record is from RNAcentral.
AGCCCAGCCAGGUGCCGGGACUUGGCGUCAGAAGACAGCUGUGAGGCUUUUCUCUGCCACCGGCAGAUCCAUCAACAGUCCUGAUAACUACUCUCAUUUCCAUGUAGUGAUGGGCAUGAACGCUAUCCUGAGAUUCCUGGAACAGAUGUAGUGUCAUAUGAAAGUAGCUGUGAUUUCUAACUGGUGACCAAGUACCAGGAUUUGUUGCCAUUUAUAACCCCCUGGGUGCUAUCAGAUGUGCUGAAUGCUGGAAGAAUCAAUACUCUAAUCUUUGGUUCCAGAGAAUCUGACUCAGGUUCAUGAAAAAUCGGAACUUUCUCUGGUGCGAGCUUUGCUUAUAACUUUGGCAUAGGGGACCAGGAAAGUCUCACGGAUGCAAAGAGACAUCGAAUGUUUUCAGUUCAUCCACGUCGGAGUGUGGGCCAGCACUUCAUCCCUUGCCAUGGCUGAGGAAUAGUCCAUCACGUGGACAGACAACAAUUUAUUUCUCCAUGCAUCAGGUGACAGACAUUUGGGUGGUUCCCACCUGACUCACUUCAUGAAAGAAUAUCUCUGGGCCCCAUGUGGAGGCUCAAAAGAGCAGAGCUGGGAGACCAGGGAGGAUGUAGCUGCAGGAAUCCCAGGAAUGCAGGUGAGGGCUGGAGGCGGUUGCCCUGCAGGUGAGUGAUGGGAGAGGCCAGAGGGGCCAGCGAGGUGUGGGUCUGGAGCCAGCAGAUCAUGUUUUCUGUCUGUCCUUCCUCCACGACGAUGUACUCUUUAGGAGCCGAGUGACGAUGACCUGUGGAUGAGCAGCCUGGGAUGCCCCUGUCCCCAGCCUCUUCAACCUGACACAAGUUUGCAUUCUAUGCUCUCUUUCUUUGGAACAAGGAUUGACUCCUAAGUGGCAUCUGGAGAAGGCCGAGCUUCCUGCAGGGACCUGAAGAGGGUUUUUAGAAACAGAAACGGAGUCAUCAGAUUGCUCACAGUGGCCAAAUCUUGCCCUAAAGUCAAAGCUCUGAAGCACUGCACUAAAGAGCUCUUGGAACACCCGUGGAUUCCCAAGGAAAGGAAUGGAUAAAGUUAAGCCAUGAUGACCUUGUUGAAUCCAGCCAUUCUGCAAGUGCCUGUUUUGACUUUAGGGAUGGAAGUCCUUCCAGGCAUGCCAAGAGGGAAGGAAACAUGGCAGGUGCACUGGCUUUGAAGUUGCCGUGGUGGUUGCAAUCCUGCAUCUGUCUGUUCCUGAUGGGGUGACCUCAGGUAGAGGAAAAUGUGAUUUGGAGACAUAGACACACAUGGAGUGUGACGAUGGAGGCAGCGAGUGGAGCGAUGCAGCUGCCAGCUGAGGAGUGCCAAGGGUUGAUGGUCACCAUCGGAAGCUAGAGGAGGCAAGGGGGGCUCUGUCUGGAGUCUCAGAGGGACAGCAGCCUUGAUUUUGGACUUCUUGCCUCCAGAAAGUUGGCAAGAAUUUCCAAGGCAUCUCAUCAACAACUUCUGAUAAAUGAGGAAGUGGAGGCUGAAUUAUAGUUCCACAGCAUCGGGAGCCAGAAGCGAGGUGGGAAUCCAAGUCUUCCGGAUUCCCAGCUCCGUGAUUCGUGCCUGUCACAAAUUUGGGACCAAAAGCCACCUGUCUGUGGGAUUAACAACAGUCGAGGCUAUGACUGACAUCGUGCCCUAGCGAGUGCACAGGUCUGGCCAGCUGGGCGGCUGGACCUGGCUCUCUCGCCUUGGGUCCGUUCAGCCCAUUUUGUGGAUGGAUCAGGUGAAGUGUGGCUCCUGGGGCUGCUGGCUGCUUUCCAGUGUGCGGUUGCCAAGCAUGUGAAUGAGGCUUUCCUGAGCCACAGCUUCCAUGGCGCAUGCCGGAGGAACCCUCGCAUGGAACCUAAGGGCGCCAGAGGCGGAGUUGGAGGCGUGGUAUUGGGGGAUCCUGGGGAUGCGUGUUGGGGGCUGGGUGGGUGCUAGGAGAGAGGAAAGAACUGGACCCACCUGGAAGACCAGCCAGGUGUGGGUCAGAAGCUAUAAACAUGAGAGGGCUCGAGGAAUUCUCAUAGUGCUUUCUGGAGCCGGGGAAAAGAGGGCUGGCCAGGAGGCCCCCACGUUUCUCUCCACCAUCCUGCAGUCUUCAUUUUCCCUCCAAAUGGGAGGGUUCCCCGCAGCUGGCCAGCCCGCCGUGGCACAGACUGUGUUUCUCUUCUUUGAGUGCCACACGAAAAACACUGAAUAGAUGCCGACAGGCAAGUUGGAAGAGCCAAAAGCCAGAACAAGUCGAGGCCGCUGCUGUUGCCCGACACACACCGUUGUCCCCAGCUCCACCCCAGAACAGCCCAAAUUCCCCAGAUUGCUGUGAAGAGAGUCAGCCUGUGCUCAGAGGCAUUGAGCAACUCGGAGCCUCCCAGGGUCCCUGACCCUGCACCCGGGAACAGCCAAGCGGCCUGAGCAUCCAGGGUCAGAUCGGAAGGCGUUUAAGGGAGGAUGGCUUCUUCCUUUUGGGGUGUAGUGGGAAAAUGUUGUUGGUGGGCAAAGGUCUCUCCACAUUGCCCAUCCUUGGGGUGGGGGGUGGGUUUCAGUUUGGGCUCAUGAUGUCUGGUUGCUGUUUUGUUUAGGGUGUGGGAGUCAAAUGCUGGAGGGUGGCGUUUGCAGAUGGUGCGAACCUUUCACCUCUGAGUUGAAGGGAAGAGGGAAGCAGCUGCCCUGGCAGCAGGAAACAGAGUCCGGCCUCGAGCUGACACCUCCAGCUGGCCGGGGAGGAAGUCACCAGGCAGUUGCUAUGUCUUUGAUGUUGGGGCUGCCUUUUCUCCUCUCGCUGACCACCAGACAGCUGGGUGGGCUGAGAAGGAGGUGCCCGGCACACACGUCUGUUUCCUGGAAAGCUGUGGCCACAAAGGUCACUCCAUGGACUCUGAGCAGGGGCCACAGGGGCUUCUGGAUGGAGACCUGGGAUUUGGCCACACAUUGCAUCCCCAGACUUUGCUGGAUAUUCCCAACCGCUCUGAGUGAAUUCCAGGGAGGCAUCCCCUGAAGCAGGAGUCCCACCCCGCUGACAUGCUUGACAAUUCACCACAAACCCAAGUACAGGUGACCCAGGAGAAGAAGGCUGCCGAGCGAAUGUCCUGCAUGCAUUUAAAGAGUUAAUAAGGGAGGGCCAAGGAGCCUGAUUUAAAACAGAAUAGGAAAGUCUUUUAA